RNAcentral lists this ribosomal RNA (253 nucleotides) under uncultured bacterium. RNAcentral describes it as "partial 16S ribosomal RNA". It matches the Rfam family "Bacterial small subunit ribosomal RNA", at positions 524 to 776 of the family's 1533-position model. The record is from RNAcentral.
GACGAACCACACAAACGUUAUUCGGAAUUACUGGGCUUAAAGGGUGCGUAGGCUGUGCAGAAAGUUAGGUGUGAAAUCCCCCGGCUCAACCGGGGAAUUGCGCUUAAAACUACUGUGCUAGAGGAAGACAGAGGUGAGCGGAACUUCGGGUGGAGCGGUGAAAUGCGUUGAUAUCCGAAGGAACACCGGUGGCGAAAGCGGCUCACUGGGUCUUUUCUGACGCUGAUGCACGAAAGCUAGGGGAGCAAACGGG